CUUCGGUGGCGAGUAGAGUGGCGCACGGGUGAGUAACGCGUAGAUGAUCUACCCUUCAGUCUGGGACAACUCUUGGAAACGAGAGCUAAUACCGGAUAAAACCUUCGGGUUGAAAGCUUUAGUGCUGGAGGAUGAGUCUGCGUACCAUUAGCUUGUUGGUGGGGUAAAAGCCUACCAAGGCGACGAUGGUUAGCGGGUCUGAGAGGACGAUCCGCCACACUGGAACUGAGACACGGUCCAGACUCCUACGGGAGGCAGCAGUAGGGAAUAUUGCGCAAUGGGGGAAACCCUGACGCAGCAAUGCCGCGUGAGUGAAGAAGGCCCUCGGGUCGUAAAGCUCUUUUAUGGGGGAAGAUGAUGACGGUACCCCAUGAAUAAGCACCGGCUAACUACGUGCCAGCAGCCCGCGGUAAUACGUAGGGUGCGAGCGUUGUUCGGAAUUACUGGGCGUAAAGGGCGUGCAGGCGGAUUGGUAAGCCGGAGGUGAAAGCCCGGGGCUCAACCCCGGAGGGUCUUUCGGAACUGCCAGUCUUGAGAGGGUCAGGGGCCAGCGGAAUUCCUGGUGUAGAGGUGAAAUUCGUAGAGAUCAGGAGGAACACCGGCGGCGAAAGCGGCUGGCUGGGGCCACUCUGACGCUGAGGCGCGAAAGCGUGGGGAGCAAACAGGAUUAGAUACCCUGGUAGUCCACGCCGUAAACGAUGGGCACUAAGCGUCCGACGGGUUCGACCCUGUUGGGUGCUGCAGUUAACGCGUUAAGU
This 758-nucleotide ribosomal RNA is filed under the name uncultured bacterium. RNAcentral's name for it is "bacterial SSU rRNA". It matches the Rfam family "Bacterial small subunit ribosomal RNA", at positions 78 to 865 of the family's 1533-position model. The record is from RNAcentral.